This 870-nucleotide non-coding RNA is filed under the name [Ruminococcus] lactaris ATCC 29176. Its description in RNAcentral is "Ruminococcus lactaris ATCC 29176 Bacterial large subunit ribosomal RNA". It matches the Rfam family "Bacterial large subunit ribosomal RNA", at positions 2045 to 2912 of the family's 2925-position model. Lineage: Bacteria; Bacillati; Bacillota; Clostridia; Lachnospirales; Lachnospiraceae. The record is from Rfam by way of RNAcentral.
AAAUACCAGUGAAGAUGCUGGUUACCUGCGCCAGGACGGAAAGACCCCAUGGAGCUUUACUCCAGCUUGAUACUGGGAUUCGGUAUUGUAUGUACAGGAUAGGUGGGAGGCUUAGAAGUGGUUACGCCAGUAGCCAUGGAGCCGCUGUUGGGAUACCACCCUUGCAGUACUGGGUUUCUAACCAGCAGCCGUGACCCGGCUGGGGGACAAUGUCAGGUGGGGAGUUUGACUGGGGCGGUCGCCUCCGAAAGGGUAUCGGAGGCGCUCAAAGGUUCCCUCAGAAUGGUUGGAAACCAUUCGAAGAGUGCAAAGGCAGAAGGGAGCUUGACUGCGACACCGACGGGUGGAGCAGGUACGAAAGUAGGACUUAGUGAUCCGGUGGUAUAAAGUGGGAUUGCCAUCGCUCAACGGAUAAAAGCUACCCUGGGGAUAACAGGCUUAUCACUCCCAAGAGUUCACAUCGACGGAGUGGUUUGGCACCUCGAUGUCGGCUCAUCGCAUCCUGGGGCUGAAGUAGGUCCCAAGGGUUGGGCUGUUCGCCCAUUAAAGCGGUACGCGAGCUGGGUUCAGAACGUCGUGAGACAGUUCGGUCCCUAUCCGGCGUGGGCGUAAGAUAUUUGAGAGGAGCUGUCCUUAGUACGAGAGGACCGGGAUGGACUGGCCGCUGGUGUAUCUGUUGUCUUACCAAAGGCAUAGCAGAGUAGCCAAGCCGGGAAGGGAUAAACGCUGAAGGCAUCUAAGCGUGAAGCCCCCCUCAAGAUGAGAUAUCUCAUAACGUCAAGUUAGUAAGACCCCUUGAAGACGACGAGGUAGAUAGGGCAGAGGUGGAAGUGUGGUAACACAUGGAGCUGACUGUUACUAAUAGGUCGA